This 72-nucleotide non-coding RNA is filed under the name unclassified sequences. RNAcentral's name for it is "Flavo-1 RNA". The stretch from base 9 to 72 matches the Rfam family "Flavo-1 RNA", at positions 9 to 76 of the family's 76-position model. The record is from RNAcentral. RNAcentral also lists the same sequence under 1 other name.
UUGCGCGAGGGAUGGCAGCGGCAUCCUUUUGUGAGGAACGAGCAAAAGAUACAGCGAACAGCCCGACCCUUG